AGCGCAGGCGGAAAAAUAAGUCUAAUGUGAAAGCCCUCGGCUUAACCGAGGAAUUGCAUCGGAAACUGUUUUUCUUGAGUGCAGAAGAGGAGAGUGGAACUCCAUGUGUAGCGGUGGAAUGCGUAGAUAUAUGGAAGAACACCAGUGGCGAAGGCGGCUCUCUGGUCUGCAACUGACGCUGAGGCUCGAAAGCAUGGGUAGCGAACA
RNAcentral lists this ribosomal RNA (207 nucleotides) under uncultured bacterium. RNAcentral's name for it is "partial 16S ribosomal RNA". It matches the Rfam family "Bacterial small subunit ribosomal RNA", at positions 568 to 774 of the family's 1533-position model. The record is from RNAcentral.